UACAAACCAUGAUUUAACCAUGGAAGUGC
RNAcentral lists this non-coding RNA (29 nucleotides) under Rattus norvegicus (Norway rat). The record is from RNAcentral. Lineage: Eukaryota; Metazoa; Chordata; Mammalia; Rodentia; Muridae.